This 1353-nucleotide ribosomal RNA is filed under the name uncultured bacterium. Its description in RNAcentral is "bacterial SSU rRNA". It matches the Rfam family "Bacterial small subunit ribosomal RNA", at positions 28 to 1393 of the family's 1533-position model. The record is from RNAcentral.
AGGAACGCUGGCAGCGUGCAUAACACAUGCAAGUUGAACGGGAUUGUUAUCUUCGGAUAACAUGAGAGUAGCGAACGGGUGAGUAACACGUAAGAAUCUACCUUUAGGACGGGGAUAACUUCUGGAAACGGAUGCUAAUACCCGAUAUGCUGUGGAGUGAAAGAAUUUUCGCCUAAGGAUGAGCUUGCGUCUGAUUAGCUAGAUAGCGUGGUAAUGGCACACUAUGGCAACGAUCAGUAGCUGGUCUGAGAGGAUGGACAGCCACAUUGGAACUGAGACACGGCCCGGACACCUACGGGUGGCAGCAGUUUCGAAUCAUUCACAAUGGGCGAAAGCCUGAUGAUGCAAUGCCGCGUGGAGGAUGACGGCCUUAGGGUUGUAAACUCCUGUCAUUAGGGAACAACAAGCAGGUUUAUAGCCUGCCCUGAGUUAACCUAAAGAGGAAGAGGUGGCUAACUCCGUGCCAGCAGCCGCGGUAAUACGGAGACCUCGAGCGUUACUCGGAUUUACUGGGCGUAAAGGGUGAGCAGGCGGCCAGGUGUGUUAGGUGUGAAAUCCCGGGGCUUAACCCCGGAACUGCGCCUAAAACUACCUGGCUAGAGUCUCGGAGAGGACAGUGGAAUUCUAGGUGUAGCGGUGAAAUGCGUAGAUAUCUAGAGGAACACCAGUGGCGAAGGCGACUGUCUGGACGAGUACUGACGCUCAAUCACGAAAGCGUGGGUAGCGAAAGGGAUUAGAUACCCCUGUAGUCCACGCCGUAAACGUUGUGCACUAAGUUUCGGAGGAUUCGACCCCUUCGGAGCUCAAGCUAACGCGUUAAGUGCACCGCCUGAGGACUACGGCCGCAAGGCUAAAACUCAAAGGAAUUGACGGGGGCCCGCACAAGCGGUGGAGCAUGUGGCUUAAUUCGAGGCAACGCGAAGAACCUUACCUGGUCUUGACAUGCCCGUCAUAGUUUUCCGAAAGGAAUUCGUCAGUUCGGCUGGACGGUGCACAGGUGCUGCAUGGCUGUCGUCAGCUCGUGUCGUGAGAUGUUCGGUUAAGUCCGGCAACGAGCGCAACCCUCGUUUCCAGUUGCCAGCGGGUAAUGCCGGGGACUCUGGAAAGACAAACCUCUUGUUGAGGUGGGAAGGUGGGGACGACGUCAAGUCAGUAUGGCCCUUACGACCAGGGCUGCACACGUGCUACAAUGCCCGGCACAAUGGGAUGCAAUAUCGCGAGAUUGAGCAAAUCCACAAAACCGGGCCCAGUUCGGAUUGGAGUCUGCAACUCGACUCCAUGAAGUUGGAAUCGCUAGUAAUGGCGUAUCAGCAAUGACGCCGUGAAUACGUUCCCGGGCCUUGCACUCACCGC